AUGAUUCCUGGUACUAUCCACCUUGAUAGGUACAAGGAGAUGCUGGAAUGUUUGAUUCAUCCCAGUGAACUGAGGGAUAGUGAUGCACAACCUUAUUUCAAGCACUGUUUCUUGCAGGCUUUGUUCCAAUGGAAGGAAGUGGACUUAGAAAAUUGAAGAGGAGCAGCAGUGUCAGAGACAUCUAUUAGGCCUGAAGAACAGUGAUGGUAUUUUUUAGAGGAAGUGUGAGAAAUGAGGAAUGAGCAGAAAGCCUGCACCAUCCUGUAAAUUCUUCAAAACAGCGUCCAAGAAAGUGUUUAUUGCAUGACUUUUCUAUUACAAUUAAAUAUAAUGAUGAUGAUGAUAAUGGCAAGGAAGUCCUUAAUUUUAGCACCAUGAGAUAAAAUGCAGAUGACAACUGUUAGGUUGAGAGUAUUUAGUCUUCUUUAUAAAUUGAAACACUCUGCAAAUUCCUAUUGGUGUUGUAUUUAUAUCCUGAACAGAUGGAUUUCCUAGUCAUCCUUGUUGUCACAGCCAGGAUGUUAAGAUUUGAGAAAACCCAGAAAAAUUAAACACCAGGACAAAUGAGUAUCACUGGGGGAGUUUUGUAAUUUCCCUUCAAAGUAUAAUAUAAUAAAAAAAAAAUUGUCCCCUGACUGCUGCA
Cyanistes caeruleus (blue tit) is the source of this 643-nucleotide long non-coding RNA. Lineage: Eukaryota; Metazoa; Chordata; Aves; Passeriformes; Paridae. The record is from Ensembl.